Molecule: long non-coding RNA, 7990 nt
Filed under: Sorghum bicolor (sorghum)
Lineage: Eukaryota; Viridiplantae; Streptophyta; Magnoliopsida; Poales; Poaceae
Description: long non-coding RNA (SBIC_LNC012226)
Source: RNAcentral
CCUCCUAAGACUCAUUGUAAUCCAAGACUUUGAUAAUUGAAAUAUAGAACCCCUUUGUUCAGCUGCGUGCUAACAAAUUCAGAGAGUGAUCUCUACCCCUUUGCUCUUGUGUUUUCCUUCGUGGAGAUUACAGAAGCGGCCGCGUCAUCGGCACCCAAUCCGUGCUCCUGAUCCUCAAGUUCAGGUUGCGUAGGUUGGUUCUUUGAGAGUGUGGUUGGGCGAAUCCUUGGUUCAGGCUGCCGUAUAGAGACGGUGGUUGGCUCCUUGUGCGUGUCGUCAGGUUGCACUAGUUAUCCUCGCUGCUUGCAGCAACUUAUCGGCUGAUCUUCAACUAGUUAUCCAUCCUACGUCGUGAAGAUCGGGACAACGACCUCACCAUCUGGUAUCAAAGCUCAAGUUUCCACGGUAGGAUUUUUAGCCUUAGCUACAUAUAUAUAUCUUGUUCGUCCUAUCCACCAAAAAGCCAAAAAAAAAUUGCAUUAGCCCUUUGUUUCAGUCUGUUUUUCUUGUGAGUUUGGUUAAGUUUCAGUCCAUUAGAGUUUUGUUUAGUUGCUGAUCAUCAUAUCCUUUGUGUGUCCUUUGUGCCUCUUUUAUAUCUACAAAUCCCUAAAGAAAAUCUGAAACCGGUAUCAUCCUUCGCGUAAACUUUGAGCAUAUCAAGUUAGAACGCUGACGGUUGUGUCUUGUUUCAAAAAAAAAAGUGUGUGUAAGUGUUAUAUCUGCUCUUGUUCUUAGUUAUAAAAAAAACAGAGUAUCAAAAAAAAGGAAAGUGAAAAAAAAGGAGAGUUGAGGAAGAAAAGUUGUGAAGAAAGAGUAGAAAAUUCACUCUGUUUAUGUGCUCAAGUUCUGAAUUUUAUAUCAAGUCACACAAUCAGUCAUUAUCCAUCUUUGGUGCAAAAUUUUGCUUGGGUUUGAUUGCAACACUUGCAUCCUAGGCAUACUCCUUGUUUGCAUCAAAUCUGAAUUAUCUUUGCGCGUGUGUUUGAUCUAUUUACAUCACUCAUAUCUUGUGGUCAGCACUAGGCAUUGAACUUCUAGUUUGGAUUGUGGUUUAACUUUAUAAUAUCAAGAAUUCAGACUGCAUUCCUUGUGAAAUAUAUCCCCACCAAGCUCCACAAAUAACCCACCGUCAUAGGAAAAUACUGAUCUUGGAUUCUCCCAACCAUCAUUCUCGGUUACCACCUCGCAUUGGCCGUUGUAAUCUGCAGGGAACUCACAUGAGCUUCGGUUGGUAAGAGAGGUGAGAUUGUGAGAUUCCACAUAUAAUUCCCUAUUCUACAUAUAUUGUUGCUUUGCCUUCACUAAUUUUUUACAGCAAGAUGACUGAGCAUCCGGAGAUUGAUGAUUGUGUCACCGUGGCACAAUUCAAUGAGAUGAAACAAAGCAUGGAGACGCUAACAAACAAUGUUCAAGCACUCAUAAACCGGUUGCAAAUCCAUCCUCAUGAUAAUGCAAAUGGCAGUCACCAUGAAGAUGAAGAUGAAGAAAGCGAAGGAGAAGCUGCUCGUCGUGCAAGAGAACGGCGUAGAGAGCAAGCUGCUGCCAAUGCAAGAAGACCUCCUUUUCCACGACGUGAUCAUGGUGGUAGAGGUGCUGGUCAUGGACAUGGGAGAGAUAUUGGAUUGGAAGAAAGUGAAACUGAAGAAGAGGAUGAACAGCCCCAUUAUGAUGAUCGUCGUCACCGAAGAAAUCGUAGGCGUAAUCAGCACAAUGAAGAUAGGUUUGGCAAGUUAAAAUUCACCAUGCCCCUGUUUGGAGGAGGAUCUGAUCCUGAAGCAUAUCUUACAUGGGAGUUGAAGGUGGAUAAAAUUUUUCGUGUGCAUAAUUAUUCUGAGAGAAAGAAGGUUGCCAUGGCUGCUCUUGAGUUCGAUGGGUAUGCUCUAAUCUGGUGGGAGCAAAUGUUGAAUGAAAGAGAAGAAGCUGGUCAAGGUGAUGUUCGUUCAUGGGCUGAAAUGAAGAGAGAAUUGAGAGCAAGAUUUGUCCCCAAACAUUAUCGCCGUGAUUUAUUUGACAAGCUACAGAAUCUGAAGCAAGGAAGCCUCAGUGUUGAUGAGUAUUAUAAAGAGAUGGAGAAGGCGAUGAUUAGAGCCAAUGUAAUUGAAGAUGAAGAGCAAACAAUUGCAAGAUUUAUGUCAGGGCUGCAUCGGAAUAUUCAGCGCAUUGUUGAAUUUCAGCAAUAUCGUAAUCUUGUUGAAUUGGUGCAUCAAGCUAGCAAAGCUGAGCGGCAAUUGCAGCAGGAUAUGAAGUCCACUAGAGGAGUAUCUUUCAGCACAAAUAGUGCAGCAAGUGGAAGUAAAUUUGCACCCAAAGGAAGUGGAAGUAAAGGUACAUUUUCCAGUACAAACGGUGGUGCACGAUCUAGCAACCUUGGUUCUUCUAGUAGCAAAGAGUUGGCUGCUCAAAAUGAGAAAUUCAAAUCAGCAAACUCAGUGGGUUCUUCCAGCAAGAGUAGUGGAAUUCAGUGCUUCAAGUGUGGUGGUCGUGGUCAUGUUGCAAGAGAGUGUCCAAACGCUAGAACCAUCAUUGUGAAUGAUCAAGGGGAGUAUGAAUCUGCUAGUGAGGAAGAACAAGAAGAUAGUGGAAGUGAGAGUAAUCUUGAGAAGGACAUCUGUGAAUUUGAAUCUGGUGCUGCUCUUGUUGUAACUCAGAUUUUGAGUGUACAAAUGAGCGAUGCUGAAAAUGGACAGCGGCACAAUCUUUUUCAGACUAGGGCUAAAGUGCAAGAUAAGAUUGUCAAAGUGAUCAUUGAUGGUGGCAGUUGCCACAAUCUUGCAAGCAAAGAAAUGGUUGAAAAGCUUGGGUUGAAGCUGCUGAAACAUCCCCAUCCAUAUCAUGUGCAAUGGCUUAAUAAUUCAGGUUCUAUUAAGAUUGCACAAAGAGUGAAAGUUCCAUUCAAGAUUGAUGAAUAUAUUGACACUGUAGAGUGUGAUGUGGUGCCUAUGACAGUGUGCCACAUGCUGUUGGGAAGACCAUGGCAAUAAGAUCGAUCGUCUCUACAUUGUGGUAGAACCAAUCAAUACACCAUCAAGUGGAAGAACAAGGAGUUGAUUCUUAAACCCAUGACACCGCAGCAAAUCCUAGCUGAGCACAUGCAAAAGAGCUCCGAAGUGAGGAAUGAGAGUGCAAAAGAAAGAGAGAAAAAUAAUUUGAGUGCCCUCCACAAAUCAGUGAGUGAGAGCCACAAGCCAAACAUGAGAGAUGACAGAAAAAAAAAGAGGGAGAGAACUUCGUGAUGAUAGCCACCAAAUCUGAAAUGAGAGAUGUGAGGAAAAACCCAGAUCAAGUACUAUUUGUACUUGUGUGCAAGGACACAUUGCUUUCAGCUAAUGACUUAACAUCUGUCCCUAGUGUUGUUGCACGUGUUUUGCAGGACUAUGACGAUGUUUUUCCAAAGGAAACACCUGCUGGACUUCCUCCUUUGCGCGGUAUUGAACAUCAAAUUGAUCUCGUCCCUGGAGCUGCACUUCCAAACCGUCCGGCGUACCGCACCAAUCCGGAAGAAAGCAAGGAGAUUCAAAGGCAAGUACAAGAACUUUUAGAUAAAGGAUAUGUGCGAGAAAGUUUAAGUCCUUGUGUUGUUCCUGUGAUUUUGGUGCCAAAGAAAGAUGGUUCUUGGAGGAUGUGUGUAGAUUGUAGAGCCAUAAACAACAUCACUGUUCGUUAUCGUCAUCCUAUUCCUAGGCUAGAUGAUAUGCUUGAUGAAUUGAGUGGUUCUAUGAUGUUUUCUAAAAUUGAUUUGAGAAGUGGUUACCAUCAAAUUAGAAUGAAGAUUGGAGAUGAAUGGAAAACUGCUUUUAAAACAAAGUUUGGGCUGUAUGAAUGGUUAGUUAUGCCUUUUGGUUUGACCAAUGCCCCUAGUACGUUCAUGAGAUUGAUGAACCAUGUCUUGCGAGCAUUCAUUGGAAAGUUUGUUGUUGUUUACUUUGAUGAUAUUCUAAUUUACAGCAAGACAUUGGAGGAACAUGUUGAUCAUAUUAAGCAAGUUUUGGAUGUGCUGAGAAAAGAAAAAUUAUUUGCUAACCUUGAGAAGUGCACAUUUUGUACAGAUCAGGUUGUGUUUCUUGGUUUUGUUGUUUCAGGUUCAGGAAUUCAGGUUGAUGAAUCAAAGGUGAAAGCAAUCAAGGAUUGGCCAACUCCUGAAAAUGUGAGUCAGGUGAGAAGUUUUCAUGGACUUGCUGGUUUUUACAGGAGAUCUGUGAGAGAUUUCAGCACCAUAGCUGCUCCGUUGAAUGAGUUAACAAAGAAAGGUGUUGCCUUCCAAUGGGGUGAACCACAAGAGAGAGCAUUCCAAGAAUUGAAGAAGAGGCUAUCCGAAGCCCCCUUGCUGGUGUUACCGGAUUUCACUAAAACCUUUGAGGUUGAAUGUGAUGCAAGUGGGAUCGGAAUCGGUAGUGUCCUAAUGCAAAAUGGACAGCCGGUUGCAUACUUCAGUGAGAAGUUAGGAGAUGCGCAACUGAACUACUCGGUGUAUGACAAAGAAUUGUAUGCUUUGGUAAGUGCUCUUGAGACUUGGCAACAUUAUUUAUGGCCAAAAGAGUUUGUUAUUCAUUCAGAUCAUGAGGCUUUGAAAUAUUUAAAGGGGCAAGCAAAACUGAAUCGUAGACAUGCCAAAUGGGUUGAAUUCAUUGAAAUUUUUCCAUAUGUUGUGAAAUAUAAGAAAGGUAAAGAAAACAUUGUUGCUGAUGCUUUGUCACGUAAAAAUGUUUUGUUGAAUCAACUAGAUGUCAAGGUUCCAGGACUUGAAAGCAUAAAAGAAUUGUACCCUACUGAUCAUGAAUUUUCAGAACCAUUUGCAAACUGUACAACUAGAAAAGGGUGGGAAAAAUAUCAUAUACAUGAUGGAUUUUUGUUUCGAGCUAACAAAUUGUGUAUACCCCACUGCUCUGUUAGGCUUUUGUUGCUACAGAAAACAUAUGCAGGUGGAUUGAUGGGUCACUUUGGAUGGAGAAAGACAUAUGAGAUGCUAGCUGAUCACUUCUACUGGCCAAAGAUGAGAAGAGACGUCCAACGACUUGUGCAAAGAUGCAUCACAUGUCACAAAGCUAAGUCAAAACUGAACCCUCAUGGAUUAUAUACUCCCUUGCCUGUUCCUAGUACCCGUUGGGAAGAUAUUAGCAUGGAUUUUGUUUUAGGUUUACCUAGGACAAAGAGGGGAAUGGAUUCAAUUUUUGUUGUUGUUGAUCGGUUCUCUAAAAUGGCACAUUUUAUACCUUGUCAUAAAAGCGAUGAUGCUUCCCACGUAGCCUCUCUAUUUUUCAGGGAUAUUGUAAGAUUACACGGCGUGCCCAAAACAAUUGUUUCAGACCGUGACACCAAGUUUUUGAGCUACUUUUGGAAGACAUUGUGGGCAAAGCUUGGAACAAGGCUGCUGUUUUCCACCACUUGUCAUCCUCAAACGGAUGGACAAACUGAAGUUGUGAAUAGAACACUUUCUAUGCUGCUACGAGCCUUGAUAAAGAAGAACCUAAAGGAGUGGGAAGAGUGCUUGCCACAUGUGGAAUUCGCUUACAAUAGGGCAGUACAUUCUACAACUAAUAUGUGUCCUUUUGAAGUUGUGUAUGGAUUCAAACCCCUUGCUCCGAUCGAUUUGUUGCCUCUACCAUUGCAGGAAAGGAUUAACAUGGAAGCAUCCAAGCGUGCAUCAUAUGUCAGGAAGAUUCAUGAGAAGACCAAAGAAGCAAUCGAAAGAAGGUCCAAGUACUAUGCUGAUUGGGCAAACAAGCAUCGCAAGAAGGUGAUAUUUGAGCCCGGAGAUUUAGUGUGGGUACAUCUUCACAAAGACCGCUUUCCUGAGAAGCGUAAAUCCAAGUUGAUGCCACGGGGAGAUGGUCCAUUCAGAGUGCUGUCCAGGAUCAAUGAUAAUGCCUACAAGAUUGAGCUUCCUGAAGAUUAUGGUGUUAGCACAACCUUCAAUGUUGCUGACUUGACACCAUUCUUCGGAUUAGAAGAAUCAGAGUCGAGGUCGACUCCUUUUCAAGAGGGGGAGGAUGAUGAGGACAUCCCAACCAAGCAUGCUCCCUCCAAUUCCACGCCAACCUCUACACCGACUACACCGGCACCAGCCCAAGCCAUUGAUGGAGCAAUUACACGUAGCCGAGCCAAGAAGCUACAACAAGAGGUGAACGCGCUACUUUGUGAGAGUUCUAUCAAUGUUAAUGAGAAUAUUAUACUACCUAAGUGUUCUACUUUGGUUGUGCUUAGGUAUACACAUGAGGAGGGAGGUGACCUGGAUCGCAAGGAUUGGAACAACACGGUGCAGAACGGACCAGUUGAAAGAAGGGCAGAUCGGACCAGUGCGGUGCAGAACGGACCAGUUGAAAGAAAAGAUCAUAACUUGUUGGAAAGCUCUUCGAGUCUGCUUUCCAAUGAAUGAAUUGGCGACCAGUUUGGAUACUCCAUAUUGCCUGCAGACCAGAAUUAGUACAGACUGCUCAGAAGGUCAACAGUCUGUCGUGACAGAAUAUUGGUACAACUUGCCAAGUAAAACUGUACCAAUCUACAGCGUUUCGUGGUGCAUGGCAUACGUUGCUGGAAAGCUCUUGGAGUCUAGUUUCACACCCAAGAAACAGUUCAUCAUUUGGACUUCCCAAUAAAAAGUUAUGGUCAGUUUAUUGGAAACUGCUCUGGAGGGCAACAGUCACGCGAAGCCACUUCGGGAAUCCAUUUCGAGGGAACCUUUCACAUUGCCUUCCCUCAGAAACUCUAUUUCAUUUUCAUACCUAUCUAGCAGGGCUGUUGCUAGUAUAAAUACCCCCUAAGACUCAUUGUAAUCCAAGACUUUGAUAAUUGAAAUAUAGAACCCCUUUGUUCAGCUGCGUGCUAACAAAUUCAGAGAGUGAUCUCUACCCCUUUGCUCUUGUGUUUUCCUUCGUGGAGAUUACAGAAGCGGCCGCGUCAUCGGCACCCAAUCCGUGCUCCUGAUCCUCAAGUUCAGGUUGCAUAGGUUGGUUCUUUGAGAGUGUGGUUGGGCGAAUCCUUGGUUCAGGCUGCCGUAUAGAGACGGUGGUUGGCUCCUUGUGCGUGUCGUCAGGUUGCACUAGUUAUCCUCGCUGCUUGCAGCAAGUUAUCGGCUGAUCUUCAGCUAGUUAUCCAUCCUACGUCGUGAAGAUCGGGACAACGACCUCACCAUCUGGUAUCAAAGCUCAAGUUUCCACGGUAGGAUUUUUAGCCUUAGCUACAUAUAUAUAUCUUGUUCGUCCUAUCCACCAAAAAGCCAAAAAAAAAUUGCAUUAGCCCUUUGUUUCAGUCUGUUUUUCUUGUGAGUUUGGUUAAGUUUCAGUCCAUUAGAGUUUUGUUUAGUUGCUGAUCAUCAUAUCCUUUGUGUGUCCUUUGUGCCUCUUUUAUAUCUACAAAUCCCUAAAGAAAAUCUGAAACCGGUAUCAUCCUUCGCGUAAACUUUGAGCAUAUCAAGUUAGAACGCUGACGGUUGUGUCUUGUUUCAAAAAAAAAAGUGUGUGUAAGUGUUAUAUCUGCUCUUGUUCUUAGUUAUAAAAAAAACAGAGUAUCAAAAAAAAGGAAAGUGAAAAAAAAGGAGAGUUGAGGAAGAAAAGUUGUGAAGAAAGAGUAGAAAAUUCACUCUGUUUAUGUGCUCAAGUUCUGAAUUUUAUAUCAAGUCACACAAUCAGUCAUUAUCCAUCUUUGGUGCAAAAUUUUGCUUGGGUUUGAUUGCAACACUUGCAUCCUAGGCAUACUCCUUGUUUGCAUCAAAUCUGAAUUAUCUUUGCGCGUGUGUUUGAUCUAUUUACAUCACUCAUAUCUUGUGGUCAGCACUAGGCAUUGAACUUCUAGUUUGGAUUGUGGUUUAACUUUAUAAUAUCAAGAAUUCAGACUGCAUUCCUUGUGAAAUAUAUCCCCACCAAGCUCCACAAAUAACCCACCGUCAUAGGAAAAUACUGAUCUUGGAUUCUCCCAACCAUCAUUCUCGGUUACCACCUCGCAUUGGCCGUUGUAAUCUGCAGGGAACUCACAUGAGCUUCGGUUGGUAAGAGAG